This 465-nucleotide ribosomal RNA is filed under the name uncultured bacterium. RNAcentral describes it as "partial 16S ribosomal RNA". It matches the Rfam family "Bacterial small subunit ribosomal RNA", at positions 28 to 507 of the family's 1533-position model. The record is from RNAcentral.
GAUGAACGCUGGCGGCGUGCUUAACACAUGCAAGUCGAACGGAAAGGCUCCUGCUUGCAGGGGUACUCGAGUGGCGAACGGGUGAGUAACACGUGGGUGAUCUGCCCUGCACUUCGGGAUAAGCCUGGGAAACUGGGUCUAAUACCGGAUAGGACGAUGGUUUGGAUGCCAUUGUGGAAAGUUUUUCGGUGUGGGAUGAGCUCGCGGCCCAUCAGCUUGUUGGUGGGGUAAUGGCCUACCAAGGCGUCGACGGGUAGCCGGCCUGAGAGGGUGUACGGCCACAUUGGGACUGAGAUACGGCCCAGACUCCUACGGGAGGCAGCAGUGGGGAAUAUUGCACAAUGGGCGCAAGCCUGAUGCAGCGACGCCGCGUGGGGGAUGACGGCCUUCGGGUUGUAAACUCCUUUCGUCAGGGACGAAGCGAAAGUGACGGUACCUGGAUAAGAAGCACCGGCUAACUACGUG